RNAcentral lists this ribosomal RNA (206 nucleotides) under uncultured Eubacteriales bacterium. RNAcentral's name for it is "uncultured Clostridiales bacterium partial 16S ribosomal RNA". It matches the Rfam family "Bacterial small subunit ribosomal RNA", at positions 568 to 774 of the family's 1533-position model. The record is from RNAcentral. Lineage: Bacteria; Bacillati; Bacillota; Clostridia; Eubacteriales.
UUCGCAGGCGGUCUGAUAAGUCAGAUGUGAAAGGCAAUGGCUCAACCAUUGUAAGCAUUUGAAACUGUCAGACUUGAGUUAAGGAGAGGAAAGUGGAAUUCCUAGUGUAGCGGUGAAAUGCGUAGAUAUUAGGAGGAAUACCAGUGGCGAAGGCGACUUUCUGGACUUAUACUGACGCUGAGGAACGAAAGCGUGGGGAGCAAACA